Misgurnus anguillicaudatus (oriental weatherfish) is the source of this 856-nucleotide non-coding RNA. The record is from RefSeq and is a predicted model, not a curated record. NCBI's taxonomy places the organism in Eukaryota, Metazoa, Chordata, Actinopteri, Cypriniformes, Cobitidae.
CAGCACAAGACGUCAUUUAGACGUUGUUUUUUGGGCUAAAUCACGUCGGCCCGUCAUGACCUUCAUUUAGUCCAAAAAAAGACGUUGAAAACUGGUCUUUGUUUGGUCCGUCUAAUUCAGUCCAAAUUUAGCCUAAAAUUAGACGUCUUUUUCGGACCACUUUUCAACGUGUCUCCAAUCAAUAAUAAUCCUGACAAAAUAUGCAUGAAUGUAUAAAUACUGAGCACAUUGAACGAUAAUGAAACACAUGCUUUGUUUAAAGUCUAUUAAUAUUUCUGUUUAUUUUAAUUAAAUAAAUAUGUUAAAUGUGCUCUAAACAGGUCAUUUUGGUCCUGUACAGCACUGAUAGAAGCACUUCAUUUUCAUCUUUUAACAAAUAUCUUUAUUUUCUUUUAAUAUGAUAUUAUUGGCAGAGGCGCGCGUCCGUUUCAUGCUUUGUGAUCACGUGAUUAUUCAACGGGGAGAUGCGCGUCCUGAGUUUCUCCUCAGACAAGUGUUUCUGUUUUGUGGUCGAUUCUGGGUAAUGUUAGCUCGAGCGCUGUCAGCUUGACUGAGCUCGUUGCGCAGGUGACGCGCAGAUCCUUUUCUUGGUGUGUCUUGAUGUUUUCUAUUGGCUAAAGAUGCAAAUAAGGAGACUUCGACAUGUCUCUGUGAAAAUGACAAUCUCGGGUAGGAGCUGCUGGUUUGUGGUUGGCAGUAUGGAUCACGGUCUGCGACUCAUGAUGUCUGGGCUGGAGACACAAAGAGGUUGUCAACAGGUGAAGAGGUCUGAAGCUAAUACCUGCCAUGGUCUAAUUGGUAUUUCAUGAGGAAUCAUGGAUUCCUUGGUAUUUGAAUUAUGUUGAACCAGGCAAGU